This 498-nucleotide ribosomal RNA is filed under the name uncultured bacterium. Its description in RNAcentral is "partial 16S ribosomal RNA". It matches the Rfam family "Bacterial small subunit ribosomal RNA", at positions 28 to 523 of the family's 1533-position model. The record is from RNAcentral.
GAUGAACGCUGGCGGCAUGCCUUACACAUGCAAGUCGAACGGUAACAGGUCUUCGGAUGCUGACGAGUGGCGAACGGGUGAGUAAUACAUCGGAACGUGCCCGAGAGUGGGGGAUAACGAGGCGAAAGCUUUGCUAAUACCGCAUACGAUCUCAGGAUGAAAGCAGGGGACCGCAAGGCCUUGCGCUCACGGAGCGGCCGAUGGCAGAUUAGGUAGUUGGUGGGAUAAAAGCUUACCAAGCCGACGAUCUGUAGCUGGUCUGAGAGGACGACCAGCCACACUGGGACUGAGACACGGCCCAGACUCCUACGGGAGGCAGCAGUGGGGAAUUUUGGACAAUGGGCGCAAGCCUGAUCCAGCCAUGCCGCGUGCAGGAUGAAGGCCUUCGGGUUGUAAACUGCUUUUGUACGGAACGAAAAGACUCCUUCUAAUAAAGGGGGUCCAUGACGGUACCGUAAGAAUAAGCACCGGCUAACUACGUGCCAGCAGCCGCCGUAA